AUCCAAGUGCAGGGGUUUUACGCGUAUCAGUGAGGAUUCGUCCGAGAUCGCGUUUUUGCUAG
RNAcentral lists this unclassified non-coding RNA (62 nucleotides) under Podospora comata. It matches the Rfam family "U4 spliceosomal RNA", at positions 1 to 61 of the family's 138-position model. Rfam says of the family: U4 small nuclear RNA (U4 snRNA) is a component of the major U2-dependent spliceosome. The structure of U4 snRNA from yeast and human has been reported. U4 snRNA presents a k-turn RNA motif in the 5p-SL related to recognition of Snu13 protein. RNAcentral also lists the same sequence under 1 other name. Lineage: Eukaryota; Fungi; Ascomycota; Sordariomycetes; Sordariales; Podosporaceae. The record is from RNAcentral.